CCUACGGGGCGCAGCAGUGGGGAAUAUUGGGCAAUGGGCGCAAGCCUGACCCAGCAACGCCGCGUGAGUGAAGAAGUAUUUCGGUACGUAAAGCUCUAUCAGCAGGGAAGAAAAAUGACGGUACCUGACUAAGAAGCCCCGGCUAACUACGUGCCAGCAGCCGCGGUAAUACGUAGGGGGCAAGCGUUAUCCGGAAUUACUGGGUGUAAAGGGAGCGUAGACGGCUGUGCAAGUCUGGAGUGAAAGGCGGGGGCCCAACCCCCGGACUGCUCUAGAAACUGUAUGGCUGGAGUGCAGGAGAGGUA
RNAcentral lists this ribosomal RNA (305 nucleotides) under uncultured bacterium. Its description in RNAcentral is "bacterial SSU rRNA". It matches the Rfam family "Bacterial small subunit ribosomal RNA", at positions 338 to 659 of the family's 1533-position model. The record is from RNAcentral.